GCUUGUACCCCAGGACGUACUUCCCACUUUUCAUAACGAGUUGGAGCCUAGAGUUGAUCGACUCCAGCGACUUUUUCUACAAAGCAAACAUUAAAUACGGACCUAAGGGCCUCGCCUGCAACCGCCUCAAAACCGGACCCAGCUUUUUGAAGCCGAGCCCCUUAAACUUCCGAAGUCGAGGACCCCAAGUCAUUGAGAGGGCCACUGGGAUUCCUUCUGGGGCCCUCCAAAUGCCAGCAGGCAUGCUGUCACCCCCGUGGGCUCACAUCUGCCCGCCCUGGCCAAGACAUCUCUCCACGUGAAUCGUCUUCCGGGCCUGGCCCGCCUCACUCACCGUCUUCUUUGCGGCCACCAUCUUCCUGCCUUAGGAGCGGGACGGCCCCCAACCUAGAAGAGACAGAGAACAGGACAGGAAUUUUAGGAUCCGGAGUUACAAAUGGCAACCCGCAAAGCUCCCCGCGCUGCCUAAACCUCGGUCGGUAGGAGCCCACUCACCAACAGCAGCCGCUAAGAUGGCCGGGGAACGAGAAAGGAAAGACUUCCCACAAUGCAAAGCUCUUCACGGCAGAGCCGGAACUGCGGGACCGGAAGCGGAAACAGAUCGCAAGCAGAAGGGGCGGAGCAAAAGCGGAGGGCAGCUGCCGGUUGCUAUUGGUACCGCUAGCUAGAAUGGCUGCGGGGGCCGUACGCGGCUGCUCAUACCUUUAAUCCCAGCACUUUCGGAGGUUGAGGCGGGAAGAUCUGUUGCGUCCAGCUCAAGGCCAGCCUGGACAACAUAGACCACCCCUGUCUCUACAAAAAAAUAAAAAAGAAAUAAAAAAGAAAUUAGCCGGGCGUGGUGGCGCGCUCCAGUAGUCCUAGCUACUCCCAGCUACGCCGGAGGCUGAGGCGGAGAGGUCGCUUGAGCUCGGUAGGUCGAGGCUGCAGUGAGCCAUGAUCGCGCCACUGCACUCAGCCUGGGCGACAGAGUGAGACUCUGUCUCAAAGAAGGAAAAAAAAGAAUGACGGCGGGGGUGUUCUUUUCCCCCUCUGCGGGCCUUUAAGCUUCGCGGCGUUGUGUUGCUGUUCUGCUGCGAGCUGCGGUCUAACUAAUCGAGGCGCUUAGAACCCGGAGGGAGUUCGAAAAGCCGACUGAAGGUGAGGUGGGAGGGUAGAUGAGAAGAGGCUGCGGCGGCUGCGACCACGGUCUCAAUGCCGCUGAAUUCAUCUUUGUCCUGAGGCGCGGCUCUUGGAGAGCCUUGUGGGUGACUCCGAUGCGCCGCAGCACCCGCAUUUACUCUCCGCUUGGUAGAAGCAGCUGUGUCCUCACCCCUGCGGUCACCCAAGUUACCUGUCCCCUGGAGAACGGUGGCGCCCUGCUCGAGUUUCCCAAAACUCGCCUUUUGUGACUGUGUUAGCGUGAACUUGUGAGCCGAGUUUGCACUGAGAGCGCGAUAAACAGGUCUAAUUUUUUAAAAGUAUUUUUGCUGUUAACGUUGGAUCUUGGUAUAAAUGUCCAGAGACAGACCACUGAAGAUAUUAGGCGCUGAAAAUCCCCACCUAAUCAAUCAGACCAGUGGAUAAGCUAUAUGAGGGAAACCUCUUCCCCUCCUUAAUUAAGCCUCACCAAAAAACGCGUGCUGUACCAGGAAUCAUUUACAUAUAUUUAUUUAAUACUCACAAAAGUCCCAUGAGAUAGUAACCUUUUUAUUGUCCAUUUUACAUAUCUAGGCCUAUUGUCAGAGCUAGGACCAGAGCCCAGGUAACUUAGGUCUCUUCACAAUUAAAGUUGAUUCAGGCCGAAUGCGGUGACUCACGCCUGUAAUCCAAACAUUUUGGAAGUCCGAGGUGAGCGGAUCACCUGAAGUCAGGAGUUCGAGACCAGUCUGGUCAACAUGGUGAAACCCCACCUCUACUAAAAAUACAAAAAGUAGCCAGGUGUGGUGGCUCCUGCCUGCAAUCCCAACUACUUGGGAGGCUGAAGCAGGAGAAUCGCUUGAACCUGGGAGGCAAAGGUAGCAGUGAGCUGAGAUCGGGCCACUGCACUCCAGCCUGGGCGACAAAGCGAGACUCCCUCUCAAAAAAAGUAAUAAGGCCGGGCGCGGUGGCUCACGCCUGUAAUCCCAACACUUUGGGAGGCCGAGGCGGGAGGAUCACGAGGUCAAAAGAUCGAGACCAUCUUGGCCAACAUGGUGAAACCCUGUGUCUACUAAAAAUACAAAACUUAGCUGGGCUUGGUGGCGCGUGCCUGUAGUCCCAGCUACUUGGGAGGGUGAGGCAGGAGAAUCACUUGAACCCAGGAGGUGGAGGUUGCAGUGAGCAGAGAUCACGUCACUGCACUCCAGCCUGGUGACAGAGCGAGACUCUGUCUC
This 2351-nucleotide long non-coding RNA is filed under the name Homo sapiens (human). Its description in RNAcentral is "HSALNT0140839". Lineage: Eukaryota; Metazoa; Chordata; Mammalia; Primates; Hominidae. The record is from RNAcentral.